This 966-nucleotide ribosomal RNA is filed under the name uncultured marine eukaryote. RNAcentral's name for it is "SSU rRNA". It matches the Rfam family "Eukaryotic small subunit ribosomal RNA", at positions 679 to 1662 of the family's 1831-position model. The record is from RNAcentral.
CUGCUUGACGCGUUCUUCUAUUUGGUUGCGUGUGCAAGUUCUCUUAGUUGAGUGCUGUACUCGACCGAAACGUUUACCUUGAAAAAAUUAGAGUGUUCAAAGCAGACCUGUUUGUGUCUGAAUAUUCGUGCAUGGAAUAAUGAAAUAUGAAUUCGGUUCUAUUUUGUUGGUUUUCGGAACUCGAGUUAAUGAUUAAGAGGGACAGACGGGGGUAUUAGUACUCUGCCGUUAGAGGUGAAAUUCUUGGAUCGGCGGAAGACUCGCAACUGCGAAAGCAUUUGCCAAGAAUGUUUUCUUUAAUCAAGAACGAUAGUCGGAGGUUCGAAGACGAUCAGAUACCGUCCUAGUUUCGACUGUAAACUAUGCCAGCUAACGAUCAGACAGCGUUCUCUACGACUUGUCUGGCAGUUUCCGGGAAACCAAAGCUUUUGGGUUCCGGGGGAAGUAUGGUUGCAAAGCUGAAACUUAAAGGAAUUGACGGAAGGGCACCACCAGGAGUGGAGCCUGCGGCUUAAUUUGACUCAACACGGGGAAACUCACCCGGCCCGGACACAGUGAGGAUUGACAGAUUGAGAGUUCUUUCUUGAUUCUGUGGGUGGUGGUGCAUGGCCGUUCUUAGUUGGUGGAGCGAUUUGUCUGGUUAAUUCCGAUAACGAACGAGACUCUGGCAUGUUAAAUAGUCGCGGAAGUAUUUUUGCUUACCGAUUUGACUUCUUAGAGGGACAAGUGAUUCUAGUCACACGAGAUUGAGCAAUAACAGGUCUGUGAUGCCCUUAGAUGUUCGGGGCCGCACGCGCGCUACAAUGAGUCGAUCAACGAGCGUUUUAUAUCCGAGGCCGAAAGGUCGAGGUAAUCCGUUGAACCCGACUCGUGCUAGGGAUAGGGAAUUGUAAUUUUUUCCCUUGAACGAGGAAUUCCCAGUAAGCGCAAGUCAUCAGCUUGCGUUGAUUACGUCCCUGCCCUUUG